UAGUACCCGGAGGAAGAGAAAGAAAAUUCGAUUCCCUUAGUAGCGGCGAGCGAAACGGGAAGAGCCCAAACCAACAAGCUUGCUUGUUGGGGUUGUAGGACACUCUAUACGGAGUUACAAAGGACGACAUUAGACGAAUCAUCUGGAAAGAUGAAUCAAAGAAGGUAAUAAUCCUGUAGUCGAAAAUGUUGUCUCUCUUGAGUGGAUCCUGAGUACGACGGAGCACGUGAAAUUCCGUCGGAAUCUGGGAGGACCAUCUCCUAAGGCUAAAUACUCUCUAGUGACCGAUAGUGAACCAGUACCGUGAGGGAAAGGUGAAAAGCACCCCGGAAGGGGAGUGAAAUAGAACCUGAAACCGUGUGCUUACAAGUAGUCAGAGCCCGUUAAUGGGUGAUGGCGUGCCUUUUGUAGAAUGAACCGGCGAGUUACGAUUUGAUGCAAGGUUAAGCAGUAAAUGUGGAGCCGUAGCGAAAGCGAGUCUGAAUAGGGCGUUUAGUAUUUGGUCGUAGACCCGAAACCAGGUGAUCUACCCUUGGUCAGGUUGAAGUUCAGGUAACACUGAAUGGAGGACCGAACCGACUUACGUUGAAAAGUGAGCGGAUGAACUGAGGGUAGCGGAGAAAUUCCAAUCGAACCUGGAGAUAGCUGGUUCUCUCCGAAAUAGCUUUAGGGCUAGCCUCAAGUGAUGAUUAUUGGAGGUAGAGCACUGUUUGGACGAGGGGCCCCUCUCGGGUUACCGAAUUCAGACAAACUCCGAAUGCCAAUUAAUUUAACUUGGGAGUCAGAACAUGGGUGAUAAGGUCCGUGUUCGAAAGGGAAACAGCCCAGACCACCAGCUAAGGU
This 843-nucleotide ribosomal RNA is filed under the name Staphylococcus aureus. RNAcentral's name for it is "partial 23S ribosomal RNA". It matches the Rfam family "Bacterial large subunit ribosomal RNA", at positions 204 to 1045 of the family's 2925-position model. Lineage: Bacteria; Bacillati; Bacillota; Bacilli; Caryophanales; Staphylococcaceae. The record is from RNAcentral.